This 253-nucleotide ribosomal RNA is filed under the name uncultured bacterium. RNAcentral describes it as "partial 16S ribosomal RNA". It matches the Rfam family "Bacterial small subunit ribosomal RNA", at positions 524 to 776 of the family's 1533-position model. The record is from RNAcentral.
AACGUAGGUGGCGAGCGUUAAUCGGAAUUACUGGGCGUAAAGCGUGCGCAGGCGGUUAUGUAAGACAGGUGUGAAAUCCCCGGGCUUAACCUGGGAACUGCAUUUGUGACUGCAUAGCUAGAGUACGGCAGAGGGGGAUGGAAUUCCGCGUGUAGCAGUGAAAUGCGUAGAUAUGCGGAGGAACACCGAUGGCGAAGGCAAUCCCCUGGGCCUGUACUGACGCUCAUGCACGAAAGCGUGGGGAGCAAACAGG